ACGACAGCCAGGAGGAGUACGGUACCAGGGAGGAAUUGCCCAAGAAGGACAGGAUCCAGUAUCACUGCUGCCCAAAGCUGCAUGGGGCUAUGAUGUAUCCAGUAGCAUCGAAGGGCAUUGGUUCUGUAGAACACCAGAAAGAAGACUGAGAACUUUCUAACUAAUCAUUGCCACUUCUACUGCACCUAGCUUCUCCAAUAUGGACUACCAUCCAACUACUGACCAGGUCUGAACCUGAUUUGUUUAUUGGUUGUGACAAGAUUACAGCCUAAGGCAAAAGAAAAGUUUUGAGGAGGAUUUUGAAGGAAGAAAGAGAUUUGGAAGAAAAUAUAUUAAACUGGCAAUGAAAAUGAAGAAAAACUGAGAAGUGAAAAAAAAGCCCUAAAGCUGUAAUAGUUAAAGUUUGUUUAUUUAAUUUCAGAUAUUUUUGUUAACAUAUUUUAUGUGUUUUUUUUUAAAUAUCAGUGUUUGGUGUUGUAUGCAGGGUAGUUGUACCUGUGUUGGUCCCAGGAUAUUAGAGAAACAAGGUGAUGAGGUAAUGUCUUUUACUGGACCAAAAGCUUAUCUCUCCACCAACAGAAGUUGGUUCAAUAAAAGAUAUCUCAUUCACCUUGUCUCUCUAGUGUUUGCCGGACAGCCCCACAGCGCAGGAGCGGGAGAGACUGAGGGGAGCUCGCCCCAGCACACCCAAGGCAGCCCCCAGCCAUGACACCAGCCGGCCCUGCCCAGCUUCUGGGGCAGAGGAGGCUGCUGCUGCCAAGGGCCUGGCUCCCCGGCCCUAUGUGGUGCCCAAUCACAUGGUGCCUGAUCUCCCUGCCCAGCACAGCCGGUCCCGCUUCUUGGGCCGAGCAGGAAGCAGCAUGGAGCUCGGCCGUGGCUGCUGAGUGAGGUAGCAUCGGAUCAGCCUCUGUGCGCGGGGCCCUGGAGUGGCUGCCCGGAUGGCUGUGCAGAGCAGGUACCAGCCGCAGCACGGCCCCUGCCCCAACACAGGAUACAGGGGCCUGCAGUCCUUCCAUAGCCCCAUGCCCCCCCAACGGCGCUGCUCCAUGCACCCCCCGAGCCCCUUCUCCAAAGGCGCUGGCUCUAGGAUUUUUGCUGCCCCCAAGCAAAAAAAAAAUGUUGACUGCUCCUGCUUCUUUUCAUGCCAGCCCCUUGCUCUGCCCCUUCCCAACCCCUUCCCCAAAUCCCUGGCCCCGCCUCCUCCCUCAAGCGUGCCGCAUUCCCUCCCUCCCUAUUGCUUCCUAAGGCUUCCCCCCGCAACCUCCCGCCCUAGCUCACCUCCACUCCGCCUGCUUCCCUGAACACGCCACCGCUCCGCUUUUGCCCCCUCCUUUUCAGGCGAGGGAGAGGUAGCAUGUUCAGGGCAUGCCUUCCAGCGGUGUCUGGGAGAAUGCUUCUUGGACUUAACAGUGCCUCAGUUAACAUUACUCUACUUUGAAAAUAUUAUUCUGUAAUGCACAUGUCAGUUUCCAAGAGUGAGUUCCAUUAGCUCUCAGGAUGUGUAUAUCCCUCUACGAAUGUCAUCCGAUACAAACCUGACUGUGAGUUUCUGUUGUCUUUAUUUUAUUUUCUUCUUCCCAAUAUUAUGAUGAAGUUUGAAUAAAUAGAUGUCUGUGUCAAACAUUUCCAUAUUCUGUGCCUUUUCAUGUGGUUACUCAAUACUGUUUCCAGAGAUGAUGAUAAAAUCUGUAUAACUACGGAUGCUGAGAGAUCAUCACUGCAGGGGAAAAAAUGAUCAUCUGACAAAGAUUUCACUGUAUGCGGUCUCAUUUUGGAUUGCAGCCAACUCUUUGUUGGCAACGUCUACUCAUUAAGAGAUCGAUCCUGCAAAAUGUUUAGUGCUCUGGCCCUGAUCCAGACAAGCACUUAAGCACGUGCUUGAUUUUAAGCAGAUGAAUUGGCACAUGGAAAUCAAUCUGUUUAAAUACUAUUCAGGUGUUAUAUUGAGUUUGUUUAAAUCAUUAAUCAACAAGACAUCAAGUGGUCAAGCUCAAUUGGUUUAUUAAUUAAAGAUUAGACAUCUAAAAUUAAUCAGCACGAUACAGAAAGAAAAUACACUCACCAAUCUGGGGUCCAGCACCUGAAGCCCACGAUGAUCUGAAUUGCUUCACAGUUUUAUGGGUAUUAUAGACCACUUAUUUACUUGUUUCUACACUUUGUCAUGAAUUAUGUAACUAACAUUGUCCAAUCAACAGCAAAAUAUGGUUGCUGGGUCUAGUGUGUGGGUGCUGUUGCUGGCCUGUGAUAUACAGCGGGUCAGCCUAGAUGAUCUGGUGGUCCCUCCUGGCCUUAAAUUCCAUGACUUUAUGACUCCCCUUUCCCCCUCCCCUCGCCCCUGGUUGAAUUGAUCUGGAUGUGCAAUACAAUAAUCAAAAGCUUAUGAUCUGUAGAUGGCAAAAGUGGAUUUGUUUUAUCAAAUCAGCCAGCUGGUAACUAACUGGCAUCACCAAUGGAGGUCAUUAUGUCUUCUCACUGGAAGACUGUUUGCUUCAUAGAGCUCACCAGAGCACAAGUUUCCUUAGCAAAACCAUAAAAAGCUUCCAUGUGACUUUUAAUAAGUGAGAUUUUAUGUUAUCUCAUUCUAUUUCCUUCUGUUAAUUAAUACAAAUGGAAUUUUAUUUUCUCAAGUACACUGAGCUAAGAAAAUUCAACAACAAAUACUUUAAAACAGUCUCAAUAUUGGCAUAAAAACAGGAUGUGACAGAAUAACCACAAAUGACAAGAAUUGUUAAUCAAAUAAUUUAAUAUAAGACUGACUAGUUUGUUAUAAUGCCUUGGGGAAAAUGCAAGACAAUGUUUUAAGAUUCAUACUACACUAGUAGUUGCUGUACAAGUCCGGUGGUUUAUAGCUUUGCUUUUUUUAUGCCUCUUUGUUUUGUGGUAAUUGGCUUAUUGUUAUUUACUGAUGGCAGUUAUAGGUUUUAUAAAUUUCCAUUUUCCUAUCUUCCUUAAUUUCCAGAGACUAACAAGACUUGUGUUCACUGAAGAUAACACAAAUACAAACAAAUUAAUAUUAUCCUAUUUUAGGGUGGAUAAAAAUCAAUGAUUUUUUUUAAAAAAAAAAAGCAAAAAAAUCGGUUUUUAUUUAAAUUAGAUUUUUUGAUAAAAUGCUUUUUGAGGGGAAAAAACCUAUCUAAAGAUAAUUUUAAGAUACAAUGUAAGAUAAGAUAAUUAUAAGAUAGAUAGUUAUAAAAUACAUUAUAGCUCAAAGAUAUCUCAUCAUGGAAUAGGGAUUAUAAAUUCUAAUUCUAUAGUAUGAGACAAUAUAUUAAUGUAAUGUUUAAGAAAAGUUUUGUAAAUGAGUUCCAAUAGUUCAUGGAUUAGGGACCCAAUCUUUUGGGGUUCUAGGGGCUUCUGUAUAGAUUAUUUAGGUUAAUCUUUCUAUCUAGCCAAUGGGACUCAGUGCUCAGUCUAGAAGAUACCAUCAGAGAUGCUUACUUUUGCAGUUCUCAAACUGUGGAUUUGUGUCUCCAGAGAUAACCUGUUUGUUAAAAGCAAAAAUGUUUUAACAUAAAUAAUAUAGAGAGGUGAGAAAUAACAGACGUCAACCCUAUUGUCCCUCUGCAAAUUUGUGUACAUAGAGUCAAUCCCUUACCUCUCUCUAAAAGUGGAAAGCUUCAAAAAGUUCAAUGAAUAGAAGAUUGUUGGGGGCAGAAUACAUAUGGACAAGGAGAAAAAGUCUGGAGAUAAAUGUGAGAAGGGAGGGACAGGCAGUAGAAACAAAAGUGAAACUGUUUGAGCAGCAUAUUCCAGAAGUCUUGAGGUCUUUCUGAGUGUAGCCUUCAUUGAUUUGAGAUCUACCAUACCAUUCUCUCACUAGAAGGGAAAAAUCUAUAAUGGCAGCAGGCUGUAAAAGAGACCCAGUUUGGGAAUAAGAAUUAUUCAAGAAAUCUACGUUUGCUGAUGAUGUUUUAAAGAAAGUCACACCAGUGAACUGGUGGAAGUCACUUAAGCAUUUGGAUUCAGAGACUGUUGAAGUGAUAAUCUCACUUUAAACAGCAGUAGCUUCUUCUGCCAGUGUAGAUAGAAUAUUUUUCUUCUGUUGGACUAAUUCAUUCCAAAUUGAGAAAUCGUUUGGGACCUGAAAAAGCAGGAAAGGUUGUUUUUCUUUUCCAGAUUAUGAACAAAACAGGAAAAUGAAGGUGAAGACAACUGAGUUAGCUGCAGAAGUCAGUAUUUAAGUUUCUCAUGUUGACCUGGCUGACAUAGUUGAUUUAAUGUUUGUUUGUUUGUUUGUUUUUUCAAUUUCAUUUAACUAAUUUUAGUUAAAUACAAUUUUAACUAAAACAAAUCUGAAUUUAAAAAACUUGAAUGUUUAAUGAAAUUCAAAAAUUCAUAUGCUUGUUUUGUUAAAAUAUUAUAUAUGUUUGCUGUUGAAGAAAAAAUCCAGAAUAUGUAAUGUUGUUGUUUUAGUUAAAUAAAACAAUUUAAAUGUCUGUCUGGUGAUGUUCUCCUCCUAAUACAGAAUGGCAAGAAAAUCCUCCAAAUAUUAAUGAUUAACCUGUUGAAUUGGAGAUAGUUCACUUCCCAAUGACUUCAUAAAUAUCUGCUUCAAUUACAUUUGGUAAAUGAAAUAACCAAACAAUCAUUCAUUUUCUGAUAUAGCUGUAAAACUAAUCUGAAAAGUUUUCAAA
Long non-coding RNA from Caretta caretta (loggerhead turtle), 4634 nucleotides. RefSeq lists it as uncharacterized. Lineage: Eukaryota; Metazoa; Chordata; Testudines; Cheloniidae. The record is from RefSeq and is a predicted model, not a curated record.